GCCCUUCUGCACAAACACACAUUUUCUGCUUUGUUAUUGCCUUUUGCUUUUUAGCUUAGAUAAGUCGGUAUAUAACUUCGUCGUUUCCAUUGAUCAAUUUGUCGGAAGGUUGUGCUGUAUUUGUGUGCUUCGCAUGCGUUCGCCUGUUUUUCGUGUACGACCGAGAGCGUUUCUGGCGCUCCGUCAAGCUCGCUCUCCCGCUGUGUGAACAGCGCUGUUGGCUGUAUACGUUAUUGAGUCCUGGGCCGAGUCUCGCGUCAUGUCGCGAAAGUCAAACUACUUUCGUAAGUGAUCGCCCCAGAAUGACCGCCUACUUUUGCAAAACAACAACAGAAAGAUAAAGGCAUAUUCAUAAUGGCGGGCACAAGCGAGCGUCGUUGUCCUUUUUCGUGUAAUAGAUUGCAUCUGACACAAUCAUAUGCGAGGGCAAUGCCUCCUUUACUAGAUGCCUGCCGCGUCGCUAGUCUUCCCAUUGGAGCGGAGGUUCCGUAGUUCAGGGUAGUUGCAGAGAGACGGCGCUCGCAGCCGACGCACUUCCUGUUGCGGAGGAAAUGACGAUUACUAGGCUGGCGCGUGCUCGACCAAUCGCUUGACGAGAGAUUGUGAGUCCUGCCUCCGGGAUUGUAACAGACGCCGCUAAAAUCUCGGAGGCUGGGCUACAUGAUUUCGGUUUCCAGCGGCCACCGCAGCUAGCGCUCGCAGCCGACCCGGGUUAACCCGGGUGGGGAAGAGCAAAGAGGAGAGGGGCAGGAACCAGCUUCUCGGGUCACGCGGCAGGCAUCUAGUAAAGGAGGCAUUGGCGAGGGAAACGCCAAUAGAAGCGUCCAUGUCUUUCUCUCCCGCGCAAAAAAGCGACCAAUGUCAUAUCGAGAUAUAAUUCUUGGAGUACUUAAGACUGUUGAUAAAUUGCAAUUUGCGAUAGAUCAUGGCGGCCUUUGACGGAGUCCAGAAUGGAACUAUAAAGGCUUCGCGUCCCCAUCUCCACAACCAUGCUUCUGACAUACGCGUGCUGUGCUUUCUUUUUUUCUGUUUCGAUGGUGCCUUGAACGAACGGUACGAGAUCUACCUGGUCGUGUCGGGAACCCAUCUUUCAAGCAAAGGCGAUGCUGGCCUUUUGAGCAUCGUCACCAUGGCCUGCGUGGGAAGAGGUACAGUGCCCGACUAUACUUGCCAUACCAGCAAGUUCAAGAGGCCUGGUGUCUUGGAACCCACCCUAUAAACCUGAACCGGUGGCCAGCUGUUGUAGAGGACUGGUGACUUGCCCGCCCUGUGAACCUGAUAGCCAGCAGUUCUUACGUAUUUGUAUCCUGCUCCCUGCCUUGUGGACCUGGCGGUGAGUUCAUGCCCGACUCUGUGGACCUGGUGGCCACCUCAAGCGGUCUGUCUUGCUACACACCCUGCACAUCUGCACGGCGGGCCUGGCGGCCAGCGUUUCUACACGCAUGGUGACUUGCCCGCCCUGCGGUCCUGGUGGCGAGCAGUGCUUGCUUACUUGUAUUUUGCUACCGGCCCUGUGGAGCUGGUGGCCACCAUAAGCGGCCUGGUGUUUUGCUAAGGACCCUGCAGGCCUAGUUACCACCUGUUCUCUUUCGCUCUGGGGUACUGUUUUCCGUGCAGCA
Dermacentor albipictus is the source of this 1619-nucleotide long non-coding RNA. RefSeq lists it as uncharacterized. Lineage: Eukaryota; Metazoa; Arthropoda; Arachnida; Ixodida; Ixodidae. The record is from RefSeq and is a predicted model, not a curated record.